GCAUAGAACUUUGUACGAGGCUACUGCUUUAGGUAAUGUCCAUCUGAAGGUGCUGGUAACAUUUCUAAAAUCUCAACGAAGUACUAAUUAAGGGAAAACUAGGAGUUAGAAAAGAAAAAAAAGGUCCUCAAAUCCUUUGAAUCACCUUUCAAAUCCUGGUAUGAAUUUUCCAUGUCAACUGUUACAGUUUUUUCAGGGCAAAGACGCCUCCCUUGUACAGCUUAUCCCCACCUUCUGCUGGUGAGUGGUUGAGAUUCAUAGCUGAUGGCCUUGUCAUAUCAUCCAUCGUUUUGGAAGCCACUACUGUCUCGGCAUUCCAAUACCAGGGUUGAAGGUAAGGUGAAGAAAUAGAUGGAGAAUAUGAAGAGGGAUGUAGCAUUAUUGAUCCCCAGUCUCUUUCUCCAGGCUUUGGUUCCUUUAUCCUCCUCCUGAUUAACAAGCUUCCCACGUCUUCUUUUUUCAUUUCCGAUAUGCUUCUCAAUACUGAUAAGCAGAUAAGAAGUACAAAAACUGCAUCUUCUUCAGGCAGUACCUCCACUGCCGGUAGCUUCCAAUUUAGAAGAGCAGUUGCUUUUCCAGUUGGCAACUCCUCUGAGAACCGGACCAGUGUUAUAAAUCCAUCUUCUUCUUCUUCUUCUUCUUCUACUUCUUCGUCAUCCGUAUCGUUUGGUUUUUUGCAGAUAGAAGAGUCUGAGGCUGAUGAUGACUUCUUGACUUGAUACUGCAUCUUCCUCCCUUUCAGCAACCUUACCUAGAGUACACAGUUGUGAUUUGUUAUUUUGCAUCGUUUGAUAAAUGCAUGUUCUAGAAAAUUGAUCUUCAAAAAUAGGGAAUAAAACUGUAGGCUGUACCAUCCUGUCAGUAGGUUCCUUGUUUCUUAUGACAAAAUUGAAGCCUGAACUGGAUGUUGG
Molecule: long non-coding RNA, 911 nt
Filed under: Coffea arabica (coffee)
Lineage: Eukaryota; Viridiplantae; Streptophyta; Magnoliopsida; Gentianales; Rubiaceae
Description: long non-coding RNA (CARA_LNC001995)
Source: RNAcentral